GCUCACUCUCUAUCCGUCACC
This 21-nucleotide microRNA is filed under the name Arabidopsis thaliana (thale cress). Its description in RNAcentral is "ath-miR156f-3p". Its record names the gene ath-miR156f-3p. The record is from miRBase by way of RNAcentral. RNAcentral also lists the same sequence under 1 other name. Lineage: Eukaryota; Viridiplantae; Streptophyta; Magnoliopsida; Brassicales; Brassicaceae.